UUUGCAGACGACUUAAAUACG
This 21-nucleotide small nuclear RNA is filed under the name Arabidopsis thaliana (thale cress). Its description in RNAcentral is "snRNA_12643". Lineage: Eukaryota; Viridiplantae; Streptophyta; Magnoliopsida; Brassicales; Brassicaceae. The record is from RNAcentral.